This 835-nucleotide ribosomal RNA is filed under the name uncultured bacterium. RNAcentral describes it as "bacterial SSU rRNA". It matches the Rfam family "Bacterial small subunit ribosomal RNA", at positions 8 to 841 of the family's 1533-position model. The record is from RNAcentral.
AGAGUUUGAUCCUGGCUCAGGACGAACGCUGGCGGCGUGCCUAACACAUGCAAGUCGAACGGAACUGUUUUGAAAGAUUUCUUCGGAAUGAAUUUGAUUUAGUUUAGUGGCGGACGGGUGAGUAACGCGUGAGUAACCUGCCUUCAAGAGGGGGAUAACAUUCUGAAAAGAAUGCUAAUACCGCAUGAUAUAUCGGAACCACAUGGUUCUGAUAUCAAAGAUUUUAUCGCUUGAAGAUGGACUCGCGUCCGAUUAGUUAGUUGGUGAGGUAACGGCUCACCAAGACCGCGAUCGGUAGCCGGACUGAGAGGUUGAACGGCCACAUUGGGACUGAGACACGGCCCAGACUCCUACGGGAGGCAGCAGUGGGGGAUAUUGCGCAAUGGGGGCAACCCUGACGCAGCAACGCCGCGUGAAGGAUGAAGGUUUUCGGAUUGUAAACUUCUUUUAUUAAGGACGAAAAAUGACGGUACUUAAUGAAUAAGCUCCGGCUAACUACGUGCCAGCAGCCGCGGUAAUACGUAGGGAGCAAGCGUUGUCCGGAUUUACUGGGCGUAAAGGGUGCGUAGGCGGCUUUGCAAGUCAGAUGUGAAAUCUAUGGGCUCAACCCAUAAACUGCAUUUGAAACUGUAGAGCUUGAGUGAAGUAGAGGCAGGCGGAAUUCCCCGUGUAGCGGUGAAAUGCGUAGAGAUGGGGAGGAACACCAGUGGCGAAGGCGGCCUGCUGGGCUUUAACUGACGCUGAGGCACGAAAGCGUGGGUAGCAAACAGGAUUAGAUACCCUGGUAGUCCACGCUGUAAACGAUGAUUACUAGGUGUGGGGGGUCUGACCCCUU